Molecule: ribosomal RNA, 497 nt
Filed under: uncultured bacterium
Lineage: Bacteria
Description: partial 16S ribosomal RNA
Rfam family: Bacterial small subunit ribosomal RNA
Source: RNAcentral
AUUGAACGCUGGCGGAAUGCUUUACACAUGCAAGUCGAACGGUAGAGGGGGCAACCCCUCGAGAGUGGCGAACGGGUGAGUAAUAUAUCGGAACGUGCCCAGUCGUGGGGGAUAACGUAGCGAAAGUUACGCUAAUACCGCAUACGAUCUACGGAUGAAAGCGGGGGAUCGCAAGACCUCGCGCGAUUGGAGCGGCCGAUAUCAGGAUUAGGUAGUUGGUGGGGUAAAGGCUCACCAAGCCAACGAUCUGUAGCUGGUCUGAGAGGACGACCAGCCACACUGGAACUGGGACACGGUCCAGACUCCUACGGGAGGCAGCAGUGGGGAAUUUUGGACAAUGGACGCAAGUCUGAUUCAGCCAUUCCGCGUGCAGGAUGAAGGCCCUCGGGUUGUAAACUGCUUUUGUACGGAACGAAAAGGUUUCCAUUAAUACUGGGAGCUCAUGACGGUACCGUAAGAAUAAGCACCGGCUAACUACGUGCCAGCCGCCGCCGUAA